RNAcentral lists this ribosomal RNA (433 nucleotides) under Enterococcus faecalis. Its description in RNAcentral is "bacterial SSU rRNA". It matches the Rfam family "Bacterial small subunit ribosomal RNA", at positions 28 to 437 of the family's 1533-position model. Lineage: Bacteria; Bacillati; Bacillota; Bacilli; Lactobacillales; Enterococcaceae. The record is from RNAcentral.
GACGAACGCUGGCGGCGUGCCUAAUACAUGCAAGUCGAACGCUUCUUUCCUCCCGAGUGCUUGCACUCAAUUGGAAAGAGGAGUGGCGGACGGGUGAGUAACACGUGGGUAACCUACCCAUUAGAGGGGGAUAACACUUGGAAACAGGUGCUAAUACCGCAUAACAGUUUAUGCCGCAUGGCAUAAGAGUGAAAGGCGCUUUCGGGUGUCGCUGAUGGAUGGACCCGCGGUGCAUUAGCUAGUUGGUGAGGUAACGGCUCACCAAGGCCACGAUGCAUAGCCGACCUGAGAGGGUGAUCGGCCACACUGGGACUGAGACACGGCCCAGACUCCUACGGGAGGCAGCAGUAGGGAAUCUUCGGCAAUGGACGAAAGUCUGACCGAGCAAACGCCGCGUGAGUGAAGAAGGUUUUCGGAUCGUAAAAACUCUGUU